Molecule: long non-coding RNA, 2528 nt
Organism: Gallus gallus (chicken)
Lineage: Eukaryota; Metazoa; Chordata; Aves; Galliformes; Phasianidae
Source: Ensembl
UUUGUGUUGAUUUUUUUCCCCCCUAUACAAAAGAUAAAUAUGCCCAGGAAUUUUUUUUCACUACGGGUUUUCAUCUUCUCGACCUCUUGUAAACUAAGCGGGGUCAAUCACUGGUCAGUUCUUCAGGAAGAGACCUCAAGGGAAUAAAAAACCCACAGUACAUUAGGAAAAGGAAUACUUGUGACUUGUGACUUGGCUUUUUAGUGUGUAACGCUACGCUGUUCGAGCCGACAGCGAAUGCUCAUUGCAGGCAGGGCUGGGAAGGCAAUCACAGCUGCAGAAGGCUCAUUCUGCCUGUGGAUGUGAAGCCGGGGUGAGAUGGCAUCUUCAGGGAGCCAAAUGGAAUUAGGAACCAGAACUGUAUGAGAGUCAAGCAGCCUUCGAGGUCCUGUAAGAAAAUGCCAGCAUUGUGCCUCCCUGUGUAUCUGAAGAUGCCACUGUAACCUAAUUCCAGCAGGACAAUUCCCACCUCCACUCAACACUAAUGCUGGUGGAUCUGUAAAGCAGAUGGAGAGAAAUGCAGCUUCUCUCUUCCAGCACAAAAAAUGGAAAGUACAAGACCUGGAGUGCUUACCCUGCCCCACCAGUCCCACGAGAGCAGAUGUGAACAAGAAGAACCAAAAAUGUACUUCUGAGACCUUGUUUCUGCUCCGAACAUGCCCUGCUGUCUUUCAGCCAUACAUCUGACCUGAGCGUUCGGGGCUUAACACUUUAGGAAACUGGCCAUGCAGGAAAUCCAAGAGCAACGCUGGGUAUUGUUUCUUUUCAACAGCCCCAAUCAUAAAACACUGCAGCUGUGUAGCAGGGAGCUGCUGCAGCCAGAGCAGCAAGUCCUCGGAGGUCAGUCCCUGCUUCUUUUUCCUCAGCAUUACAUAUUCUUUCAGUAAGAGACAAAAGAGAACAGCAGCCAAUGCACAGCACUACAGCUGUUGGUGAAGGAAUACAAAUGAAUCCCCUUCAUUUGAAGUUGUAGGGAGAAAUUAAGAGCAUAUAAACAUUCCAUCUCAACAUUGGUUGAGAUGGAAAAUGAACCAAGUGGUUUCCUUGCACCAUCCAACCCAGCUCAGCACCUCCAGAGAUGCCCCUCGUCCACAGCAAGCAGGGAAGGAGCUCACGUUACUCCAUGAUAAAUGGAAGAAACUCAUGGAAGCCCACAGUGCCAACCACGUGUGCUGAGCAGAGACCCCGUGCUGAGGGCUGAACGCUCUAAAGACAGCUGUUAGCUUACAGACAGCGCUCAGCGGCACGCAGUGAGCUCAGGUCACCAGUCACACCGCUGCCAGGCACAGCUCAGCAGACCUGACAGAAAGCAGAACCCUGCUUAUACCGAGCUCAGGGAGGAGGCUUCUGCUUUUAUGUUUGCUUUUUAGCAAUUGCAGCUACCAAAGUUGUCGCUUUUCAGCGCCUGAAAUGUCUCGAUGAAAACUGUUUACAACACUUAGUGCUUUGUGCUGAGAUCACUCGCUGCAAUGAAAGCCUGCAUUUUAUUGAAAAGAGCAGACACUUUGCAGGCGGUUUUAUUUCACUCCAACACUUGGAGCUCCCUGGCACAAGGUGGGUACAGAUCCUGUCCUGGUAUGCAGAUUGCUGCCGGUAGAGAUGUGGAGGUGUGAAUUAGAAGGCCAAGAAGUGUAUUCAAAAGGUUUAGAAGCCAGCAGCAGGUGGAUCGGAGCGCAUUUCCUCUUGUUCAAUGCAUUUUUGUUCUAACCCUGCUGUGUCUGAGUUUUUCUGUUGUGUUAGCUAUAGUCAGAUUUCCCCACACCUAUUUCAGCAGGAAACACUAUUUCAUCAAAAUAAGCCAAGCUGAUUGUGAUUGAAUUUCCGUGUUUUAAGAGAAGUCUGCUGAUGGAAAGCAUUCUGUAAAAAUCAAAAUAAAUCUGGGAACUUUGAGGCUUGGCUUUUCUGUUAUGAAUAAUUUGGGGGGCGGGGAGCCACACUCCUACUGCAUUUUGAGAGCAAAGCACAGUCACCUGUAAUUUCUGAACACGGAAUGCUCCGAAAUGCUGUGGCAGGGCAUUUUGAUACAGCUCCAUGAUUGCUCCUAAAGGAAAGUGAGACAGAAAAGCACUCCCCGCCUUCAACUAGCAGACCUGUUCCACUUGAUCCGGGCAGCUCUUGGACUCCCUUCAGGAGGUCAGAUGAGAUGAAACCUUCACUCACUAACAAACAUUCUAUACUGCGCCAUGCACUAGGUUUGAGUCUGUGGAUGUGAAGUCAGAGUGAAUUCCAAGUCACCAGGGCUAGCAUACAUCUACGAAGGUAUGAAUGAAGAAAGAAGACAUUUGAUUUGGAUUCCAACAGCAUAACCUCCAGCAAAGGUCAAGCAAAGCAAGCUUUCUACAGCGAAAGUGCGACCAGCUUCUGUGCAUCACCAGGCUUUACUGGACUGACCAAAGCAGCUUCCAGCCCAUCACUCCCUGAAGGACUGCAUUCCCUUCACGGAGAUCUCCCCAGAGCCCUCCCCUGGAUGCUCACCACGAGGACUAUUCAUAUCCACCCUCACUUGAGACAGGACCACACUCCUGUUU